Molecule: long non-coding RNA, 1496 nt
Filed under: Mus musculus (house mouse)
Lineage: Eukaryota; Metazoa; Chordata; Mammalia; Rodentia; Muridae
Description: long non-coding RNA chr4:97868586-97870082
Source: RNAcentral
AGAGAGCUCCUUCAUGCCUUCGGCCAAAGGGGAAUUAUCUAUUUUUCCUUCCUUCCCGCUGUGCCCUGCAGAGGUAGGACCUUACUGGAAGCCUUCGGUGCAGAUGCCUGUGCUUUGUGAAGGGAGGACACCCUCCUGACAUUUCUGCCUGCUCCUUUAAUUCUCCUUGCAAAGUUUACAGUUAGUAUUUUCCCUGGAACGCUGUCAAGCCUGAGACAGCCCAAAUGUAUGCCGAGCUGUGAAAUCGAGCCGGAGAGAAGCAAGUUUGUGAGAAAUCUGUUUCUACUCAAAUCCGUGAGCUUCAUUAAAACACAAGCAGAGAAACAAAAACAAAAACAAGGAACUCAAGGGGCCGUGGCCGGCUGGGCCCCCGGCGCCAUUUCACGACCUGUGAGGCGACGACGCAGCCGUACAUGGCGCCGUGUUUACCCGCCGCAGCCAAUCAGCGCGCCGUGCCAAGCCACGUGACGUGCCACGAGGGCAGCACAGCCAUUUCCUUGUUCUGAAAAAGCUUGCUUCCUCCGCAGAGUUCUUUGCCUUGCGCUGCAUGCCAAAUGUGCCUGCAGAAUGUGUCUAGUGGACUGGCAUUUCUCCACAAAGUUAUUUCAGCAGGUAAAAAGUCUCUGCGCACUUGAGCUCGGAGCAUUCUUUAUGUAAAAUGGAUUUCCCUUCUUGGCCAGAGGCCAAGGGCACGGCGCACUGGCUGGGUGAGAAGAGCGCUUCUCUGCUGAGAAACUGGUGGACCGACACACUCUUAAUUUUUUGGCUUCUGACCAAACAAGCUAGAUGAAUGCCAAAAUUCAACAAAAUAACACAUUAUUGUGUGAUAGGAGCCAUGCUCCAAGAGAGCAGGAACUCAGAGGAACUUCACACUGGCUCCCCACCCCUCCCCCUUUUGUUUUUUGGCUUUAUUUUCUUAAAAAAUAAAAUAAAAUAAAAGCAUUGUCACUUUGGGGAGCUUUUGUAGGAAUAUGGCUAAAUGGGACCUAGAGAGUCGGGCUUUUAGCAAUAAACUUGAAGGAAGGAACUGAAAGAAAACAAGAGCUUAAAAUUACGUUCAUGAACUUUUCCCAGACAGAACACACAGUUCUCUUGACUUCGCGGAGCUGCGUUUAACCCUACAGACUCCGUAGAUGUGUCUGAGUUGAAAGCUGAAGGACUUGGCAUUAAAGUGAGAAUUCUGUGAGAUAUAGCUACAUUGUACAGAUUUCAAAAUAGAAGGAGAACUACAAAUGUCAAAUGCGGAGUUUUAGCUUUCCCAAACCAAAGACUGGUGAAAAUCUCAUGCUUUGUUAUGGUUUUUGUACCCUGCCCCCUCCAUCUGACUUUGUAAGUGAAUUGAGUCUGUUCUUCCUUGCUUGACUCCAUAAGCAAGUCUUGAAAGGCCUGUGCCUCAGUUCCCACAUACUCACCUUGAGGACAUUCAAGGAGAGAAUCAAGAUUCUUCCAGUCUAUAAAAAUGUUAGAAGCUAAGCUUGAAAAAUAAAACAGUAAAC